RNAcentral lists this ribosomal RNA (433 nucleotides) under uncultured bacterium. RNAcentral describes it as "partial 16S ribosomal RNA". It matches the Rfam family "Bacterial small subunit ribosomal RNA", at positions 29 to 507 of the family's 1533-position model. The record is from RNAcentral.
AACGAACGCUGGCGGCAUGCCUAACACAUGCAAGUCGAACGAGACCUUCGGGUCUAGUGGCGCACGGGUGCGUAACGCGUGGGAACCUGCCCUUAGGUUCGGAAUAACUCCCCGAAAGGGGUGCUAAUACCGGAUAAUGUCUUCGGACCAAAGAUUUAUCGCCUUUGGAUGGGCCCGCGUUGGAUUAGCUAGUUGGUAGGGUAAAAGCGUACCAAGGCGACGAUCCAUAGCUGGUCUGAGAGGAUGAUCAGCCACACUGGGACUGAGACACGGCCCAGACUCCUACGGGAGGCAGCAGUGGGGAAUAUUGGACAAUGGGCGAAAGCCUGAUCCAGCAAUGCCGCGUGAGUGAUGAAGGCCUUAGGGUUGUAAAGCUCUUUUACCCGGGAUGAUAAUGACAGUACCGGGAGAAUAAGCGCCGGCUAACUCCGUG